UCCUACGGGGGGCAGCAGUGAGGAAUAUUGGUCAAUGGUCGGGAGACUGAACCAGCCAAGCCGCGUGAGGGAUGAAGGUACAGAGUAUCGUGAACCUCUUUUGUCAGGGAACAAAGGCGGGGACGUGUCCCCGGAUGAGUGUACCUGAAGAAAAAGCAUCGGCUAACUCCGUGCCAGCAGCCGCGGUAAUACGGAGGAUGCGAGCGUUAUCCGGAUUUAUUGGGUUUAAAGGGUGCGCAGGCGGUCUGUUAAGUCAGCGGUCAAAGCCCGGGGCUCAACCCCGGCCCGCCGUUGAAACUGGCAGG
RNAcentral lists this ribosomal RNA (305 nucleotides) under uncultured bacterium. RNAcentral's name for it is "bacterial SSU rRNA". It matches the Rfam family "Bacterial small subunit ribosomal RNA", at positions 337 to 640 of the family's 1533-position model. The record is from RNAcentral.